RNAcentral lists this transfer RNA (69 nucleotides) under Ictidomys tridecemlineatus (thirteen-lined ground squirrel). RNAcentral describes it as "Spermophilus tridecemlineatus (thirteen-lined ground squirrel) tRNA". It matches the Rfam family "tRNA". From Rfam's summary of the family: Transfer RNA (tRNA) molecules are approximately 80 nucleotides in length. Their secondary structure includes four short double-helical elements and three loops (D, anti-codon, and T loops). Further hydrogen bonds mediate the characteristic L-shaped molecular structure. tRNAs have two regions of fundamental functional importance: the anti-codon, which is responsible for specific mRNA codon recognition, and the 3' end, to which the tRNAs corresponding amino acid is attached (by aminoacyl-tRNA synthetases). tRNAs cope with the degeneracy of the genetic code in two manners: having more than one tRNA (with a specific anti-codon) for a particular amino acid; and 'wobble' base-pairing, i.e. permitting non-standard base-pairing at the 3rd anti-codon position. Lineage: Eukaryota; Metazoa; Chordata; Mammalia; Rodentia; Sciuridae. The record is from Rfam by way of RNAcentral.
GGGGCUGUAGCUCAGUGGUAGGGCACUUGCCUAGUAUGUGUGAGGCCCAGGGUUCGAUUCUCAGCACCA